GCCUACGGGGGGCAGCAGUGAGGAAUAUUGGUCAAUGGCCGAGAGGCUGAACCAGCCAAGUCGCGUGAGGGAUGACGGCCCUACGGGUUGUAAACCUCUUUUGUCGGGGAGCAAGACCCGCCUCGUGCAGGCGGAGCGAGAGUACCCGAAGAAAAAGCAUCGGCUAACUCCGUGCCAGCAGCCGCGGUAAUACGGAGGAUGCGAGCGUUAUCCGGAUUUAUUGGGUUUAAAGGGUGCGCAGGCGGACCAUCAAGUCAGCGGUAAAAAUGCGGAGCUCAACUCCGUCGAGCCGUUGAAACUGCCGU
RNAcentral lists this ribosomal RNA (305 nucleotides) under uncultured bacterium. Its description in RNAcentral is "bacterial SSU rRNA". It matches the Rfam family "Bacterial small subunit ribosomal RNA", at positions 337 to 639 of the family's 1533-position model. The record is from RNAcentral.